UAGGCAGAAGCUUGCAGGUUUAAGGCAUCUAACUGUUAAUUAGAAUUUUAUGGGAUCGAGGCCCAUCUGUCUAG
Molecule: transfer RNA, 74 nt
Filed under: Numenius phaeopus
Lineage: Eukaryota; Metazoa; Chordata; Aves; Charadriiformes; Scolopacidae
Description: tRNA-Asn
Rfam family: tRNA
About the family: Transfer RNA (tRNA) molecules are approximately 80 nucleotides in length. Their secondary structure includes four short double-helical elements and three loops (D, anti-codon, and T loops). Further hydrogen bonds mediate the characteristic L-shaped molecular structure. tRNAs have two regions of fundamental functional importance: the anti-codon, which is responsible for specific mRNA codon recognition, and the 3' end, to which the tRNAs corresponding amino acid is attached (by aminoacyl-tRNA synthetases). tRNAs cope with the degeneracy of the genetic code in two manners: having more than one tRNA (with a specific anti-codon) for a particular amino acid; and 'wobble' base-pairing, i.e. permitting non-standard base-pairing at the 3rd anti-codon position.
Source: RNAcentral